Molecule: long non-coding RNA, 225 nt
Filed under: Phaseolus vulgaris (common bean)
Lineage: Eukaryota; Viridiplantae; Streptophyta; Magnoliopsida; Fabales; Fabaceae
Description: long non-coding RNA (PVUL_LNC005029)
Source: RNAcentral
CAAGUAGGUCCAUCUUCAUCGCUUCAAAAAGGUCCCAUAUCGAAAACCACUAACACCCUUACCCACAAGACUAUCCCUUAUGACUCCAUACUACACCACCUCUCUUCCCAAACCAAAGCCACCACCACAGACAUUGGAACCCACAUGCUGGAACUCUUCGGAUCCGACGCCAGUUUGAGGUUUCAAACUGUGUCGCAUGCUCUGUUGGAGGCGCUGGGACCCGAC